RNAcentral lists this ribosomal RNA (433 nucleotides) under uncultured bacterium. RNAcentral describes it as "partial 16S ribosomal RNA". It matches the Rfam family "Bacterial small subunit ribosomal RNA", at positions 29 to 507 of the family's 1533-position model. The record is from RNAcentral.
AACGAACGCUGGCGGCAGGCCUAACACAUGCAAGUCGAACGAAGUCUUCGGACUUAGUGGCGCACGGGUGAGUAACACGUGGGAAUAUACCUUACGCUGGGGGAUAACAUCGGGAAACUGAUGCUAAUACCGCAUACGCCCUUCGGGGGAAAGAUUUAUCGGCGAAAGAUUAGCCCGCGUCCGAUUAGCUAGUUGGUGAGGUAAUGGCUCACCAGGGCUCCGAUCGGUAGCUGGUCUGAGAGGAUGACCAGCCACACUGGGACUGAGACACGGCCCAGACUCCUACGGGAGGCAGCAGUGGGGAAUAUUGGACAAUGGGCGCAAGCCUGAUCCAGCCAUGCCGCGUGAGUGAUGAAGGCCUUAGGGUUGUAAAGCUCUUUCACCCACGACGAUGAUGACGGUAGUGGGAGAAGAAGCCCCGGCUAACUUCGUG